Sus scrofa (pig) is the source of this 2917-nucleotide long non-coding RNA. RefSeq lists it as uncharacterized. The record is from RefSeq and is a predicted model, not a curated record. Lineage: Eukaryota; Metazoa; Chordata; Mammalia; Artiodactyla; Suidae.
CACACACACACACACACACAGACCAAUUUUCCCUUUCAGGCCUGAUCUUAAAGCAAAAAGAUCUUGCAUAGGCUGAACUAACAAUAAAAGGCUCCAGAAGGAGCUGCCCAGGGAAUUCUGGUCCACACCAAUAUGGGCAUAGCCAUGGGGCUAGCAGGAGAUCGUUAAUAUCUACUGGUAUCCCUCUACCCCCCACCUCCCCCAAAGUAACUCAGAAAGGUAAAGCUGGGUUGGAUCUUACUGCAAGGAUUCUAAGUCCCUUGGAGGUACAGGACUACUUCUAAACAACUGUGGGUGCUUCAGUUGGCUACAAACAGGCAUGUGGCCUAAAGGCUAAAAAUCAUCUCUUUCUAGGGUCCCCCUGUCUGCCCUGUCAAUUCCCUGCAUCUUGGCGUGGUUUGAAUUGUCCUCUCUCACCCCAGCCCAGCUUCCUUAGGGCACAAGGGCAUGGCUGGCUGUGUCCUCUGGUGGCCCAUCCAGGUCCAGAGCUCCGUGGGGGAGAGCUGCUGACUCCCCAUCCAGCAGGAGGAGAGGUGAGUCUCAGGUUUCUGGAGGUCACCUGAGGUAGAGGUCAGUUCCUGGUUUGGGUGGCUCCCUCUAGCUAAUAGGCUAGAGGCAGCAACAGAAAAGGGAGAGAGCCAGACCAGCCCAAAAUAGAACACCAAUCUGACCAAGCUGAGAUCUUGCUGAAUAUGGCCCAUCAGAGGAGACAGGGCAAGAGAGUAGAAGUGGAUACAAGAUGAGAGGGGUGGUGAGAAAAGGGCUUCCUGGAAAAUGGGAAUUAUGAAAAUAAUAUUCAGAUACAAACCUCAUGGGCUUGUCCUAUAAACAGGAGAGGCUGCAAACUUUUCACAGUACAGAGCAUUUAAGACCCUGAGUUUCUGGGGACAAGUCUGUCUGUUGCUGGUAAUUAGCAUGCUGCUGUGUAGUUUAUUCCACAGAGACAAAGAGCAAUGAUUCCAUCUCACCUUGUAGACGAGGCAGUGAGUGAGGACCUUUAGCAGAGAAAACCCACGCUUUGGAAUGUAAAAGUUCAGCUGACAAAGACAGCACAAGAAAUCAUCCUCUGCACGACCCCAUCUAUUCCUGACCCCCUUGGUCAAGGUGGCUGUUACCUUAGAGGACAACUGGGCAUUUCCUCAUCAGCUUAUGGGAUGAUCUGCCUUUUUGUGUCCUCAGAGGUAAAGGGAUGCACGGUGGUGCCAAAACCUAUGGCCAGGCAUCUCGGUCACUGUGUGCCAGUGAUUCUUCUAUAAAGCAAAAGAUUCAAAGGCUGUGUCAGUCUGGCUGAGCAGAGAGAUGCAGCAGACAGUUGAGCCUUUGCUAGACAAUGAAAAUUGGUAAGGGAGGAACAGAGAAAGAAUGGAGAGGGAGGAGACAGAAAAAGAGGGGAGGUCCAGGAUUCCCAAGGAGAGGGGGUUUCCUUUCUCUUUCCCGGAGCCUCCAGGGAGGAAUAAAUAUAAUUAUCAACCUAGCAUGACACCAUACGAAACAAAAGAGGUACCUGCCAGGUGACCAUCUCUGCCGGGACUCGAACCCGGAACCUCUGGAUUAGAAGUCCAGCGCGCUCGUCCAUUGCGCCACAGAGACCUCACCACACACACAGCAUCAGCACCAGAACUGAAAAAGCACAUACCUUCUGCAUCACCGAGCCAUCUCAGCAUCCUGCUCUCUGAGCGGUGGGGGGGGACAGGGACAGCUGGAAAAUCUGGAGUGGAGAUCCACCAGCCGGCUCCAUCAAAGCUUUUCUCAGUACCGUGGGUCCCUGGGUCCUCAGAGGAUUGGAGGAACAUGGUGGUGAUCAUUUUCCCAGCCCCAGAAUCUCUGACGAAGUAGGACAGAGCCAGAGCCUUUGCUCUUCUUUCCUCUCCAUCCCUAAGGGAGGCUAGGGAGAAGUCUUUCUAUUCUCAUGCUAAUUAAGCAGCGGAGAAAACCGGAGCCUUCUCUACCUCCACCCCCCUCUGUCUCACUGUGGUUUCAUCCCGGUCCAGCUCUUCUCAGACAGGGGCUAGGCAAAGCUGGGAGAUUCAGAGAAACCCUGGAUCCCCCCUGAUCCCGAGACAAAGGAGCUGCUUCCGUAAAGAAACAGUGUGAACCGGCGGCAGAUACCCGCAGGGAAGCUGAGCUGCGGGAGACCAGCUGGUCCAGUUCUCAGCUUUGAGAGCUGAAUCUGUCAGGCUCCGGGGAAGAGGUGCCAGGAAGAGACACAUUAAGGGACAACUGGCCUCUAUACUUCCAACGACAAUGCACUGAUUUGAAGACUUUGACUCAGUGUUCAUGACCCCAUUCUUACACGAGGUUGCAAAAAGAGCAGAGCACCGGGUCAGCUGGCCCCUCUCCUCCCUCAGUGUGUGCUCCGAGGGUCCACAGCUCUGGACACUGCCCAUGGCCUCUGAUCAUAAUGUGAGACCCCAGUGAUGGACAAGAGAAGAACAACACGACAAUAUGAACAGCUUCAAUUAGAAGAUCUUUAAGGGCCCUUCUAAGCCUAAGACUGUAUCUGAAUGCACCAUCUCAUACUUCCCUACCCAUUCUUGUAGCCCAAAGAAGGGAACCUGGGAGAGAGCAAGACCAAGGUAAUUUAAUCAGGUUGGGAUGCAAAGGGAAGACCCUAACGCUUGGGGAAAGCAGCCACUCCAACCAGCUAGCCUUCCAUCUAGGACCUAGAGAUGGAGCUCAGAAAAACUGGGGAUUGGUGUAUGCACACAGGGGUAUAUGGAAUGACCAGCCAACAGGGACCUGCUGAAUAGCACAGGGAACUACCCAAUAUUCUGUGAUAAUUUAUGUGGGAAAAAGAAUCUGAAAAAGAAUGGUUUGGGGUAUAUGCAUAACAGAAUCAUUUUGCUGUAGAGCAGAAAUUAUCAUAAUGUUGUAAAUCAACUAUACAUCAGUAAAACUUUUAAAAAUGAAAAAAAAA